GCUCCCGUAGUCUAGCCCGGCCAAGGAUACGAGCUUCUCAAGCUUGGGACGCGAGUUCAAAUCUCGCCGGGAGCA
RNAcentral lists this transfer RNA (75 nucleotides) under Nanobdellota archaeon. Its description in RNAcentral is "tRNA-Glu". It matches the Rfam family "tRNA". From Rfam's summary of the family: Transfer RNA (tRNA) molecules are approximately 80 nucleotides in length. RNAcentral also lists the same sequence under 1 other name. Lineage: Archaea; Nanobdellati; Nanobdellota. The record is from RNAcentral.